AUUGAACGCUGGCGGCAUGCCUUACACAUGCAAGUCGAACGGUAACAGGUCUUCGGAUGCUGACGAGUGGCGAACGGGUGCGUAAUACAUCGGAACGUGCCCGAUCGUGGGGGAUAACGAAGCGAAAGCUUUGCUAAUACCGCAUAAGAUCUACGGAUGAAAGCAGGGGACCGCAAGGCCUUGCGCGAACGGAGCGGCCGAUGGCAGAUUAGGUAGUUGGUGGGAUAAAAGCUUACCAAGCCGACGAUCUGUAGCUGGUCUGAGAGGACGACCAGCCACACUGGGACUGAGACACGGCCCAGACUCCUACGGGAGGCAGCAGUGGGGAAUUUUGGACAAUGGGCGAAAGCCUGAUCCAGCCAUGCCGCGUGCAGGAUGAAGGCCUUCGGGUUGUAAAAUGCUUUUGUACGGAACGAAAAGACUCUGGUUAAUACCUGGGGUCCAUGACGGUACCGUAAGAAUAAGCACCGGCUAACUACGUG
RNAcentral lists this ribosomal RNA (482 nucleotides) under uncultured bacterium. RNAcentral's name for it is "partial 16S ribosomal RNA". It matches the Rfam family "Bacterial small subunit ribosomal RNA", at positions 30 to 507 of the family's 1533-position model. The record is from RNAcentral.